CCUAUUCCUCCUCUUUUUCCUCCCUCCAUGUCGGCUUCCUCGCCGCUUGCUCGCAGCUCAAACAAAUCAAUCCCUAUUCAUCGCCACAGACAAACAGCUCCACCAAAACUCUUAUCCACCUCCCCAUGGCUUUCCGCCGGAGGAGGACCGGAGAAGAAUCCCGGACCGUCUUGCCCUCAAUGGCCUCCGGCCCCGCCGACGACAACGAGGACCACUUCGAGGAGUACAACUCCCAUCCUUGCCUGGGUGGUUACGACAUUGCCUCACCUACGGCGCGCCCCACCCGCCCUGACCUGCCGUAUGCUACCUCUCUCCUCCCUUACUUCUCUUCCUCCGCCGCCACAUCCGCCCCUCUCCGAGGAGGUCAAGCCCGCUCCCCAUCCCUGCUGCCUGCCCGUGCCGGCGCCGGCGCCGGCGCCGGAACCGGAGCGCGUCCCUCGUUACGACUACGGAGCACAGGGAAGCUACGAGCCGGAACCCUACUUCCUGGAUGUCUUCAGGUCCUGGCUCUUUUGGGAGGAGGGGCAUUCGAACCCGUGGAGGCGGCGGGCUUUGGAUUACCUCUUGGGGCAUGCUUAGGGGUAUGGCGAUAGAAGGAUUGGGGUCGAUAGCUAGGGCAUUCCUAUCUACGCUAACAAAAGGGAGGACAGUCAGGGAUUUCGGUGCAAGUUGAACCGUCACCGGCUCAAAGAUCGGAUUUUUAUGAUGUCUACAGCGAUAAAGCUGACGAGAGUGUGAGUAGUGGAUCGAGUUGUGAUCUUUUUGGAGUAAUUUGAUGGAAUGGUUAGUGCUAUGGUGUUUGAUUAUGGUGAUUUCUUGAUUUGGAUGUCCAUAGUGGUCUUCGUGGUAUGGUGAGAGGAGGGAGGAGGCCUGUGGUUAUGUGAAUCCAUCCUGUGCCAAUGAUAGGCACCACUAUGAGCAGCCUCUUUCCAUUCAAGUGAGUCCAACUCAGCAAGGGUCUUCGAAGAGCAAGAGCAUCAUGAUCAGGUGAAUGCCAACAUUACCUCUAUAUUUUACGACGCCAUUUAUUGUACUUGCUUGUUGGUAUAGUCCGGUGCUUCUGGAAGUUAAUGUUGUUUUUGCUCAAUUUCUAUAAUUGUGCCUUUUGGAUAUAGUAUAAGUCAUCGUAUGAUGAGCAGAAUUAUGUGACUAAUUUAUUUGGGAGCCGAGCUAUGGUUAUGAGAGGCACCACCAUGAGCAGCUGCUACAUGUUAGGUUGAGCUAAUUGAGCAAACUGGGUCUCGGAAAUUGAGUUAUCAUGAUAACUACCAGGAAUCGGCAUCUCCUAAGUCCAAAUGGGUGAGUAUGUGGUCUUCUCUGUGGAUCUUUUGUGGUUCAAUUGUGCAACGCUUGUUUGUGUAAUUUUCGUAUAUGUUGUUGUGCAAAUAAAUCAAUCUUGCUUGUAUUCUGUCCAUCCUAUGCUGUUUCAUGAAUAGUAUUCUUCAUCUUGUAAUGAACAAAAGGAGGAGGACAAUACAUUUCGAGAUCCAAACUGUGCAAAUGGUAGGCAGGACAUGGGUUGUGUUGUUUGCAUGAAAGAAGGAUUCACCUUCCUUCACACGAAUCCACCAAUGGAUCGCGCAAUGGCCGCUUCAACAUCCAUGCAGAUAGAUGAAUAGAGUUUGGAGUGCUUUGAGAUCUGUGCGGAGCGAUCCAAUGGCCGACAUUGUGAAAGAUUAAUCAUUCUUUUGUGUGAAAGAUACAACCCAAACUUAUAGAAGGCAUUCCUAUGAGCAGGCCUGUUGUGAUCAGCUUGAGCCUUUCAAGCCAGCUGGGUGAGCAUGGAACCUUGACUAGCUGAGCUACUAUUAUAUGCUUAUUUUAUACGUUUUAUGGUGUACACUUUGACCCUUAUUGAUUUAAAUUCAACCUCCAAGAUGCUUUCGACUUUGUUUUAGUCUUACACUUUACAUUGCAAGUCUGGUGAUAUUAACCAUGUUUACUCUGAUAUUAUUUACAGCUACGUUGAAUAGGAUUACAUGUUCUUGUUAAGUUAAGAAGAAGAAGAAUUGUGUUUCCAUUGCAUUAAUUCACACCACCCAAGUUCCUUCUUGCAAGAUUUUCCCCAUGUGUAAAUUGUUAUAAUUUAUUUCAGUCAGCAUUCUUUCUUAACUGAAUUGCUCUAAUAUUUGAGUUACUGUGAGAUUUGCUUGGAACAGCACUCACAAACGCAACUUGGGCGAAAAGACAGCCUUGCCUUGUGAAGCUUAUUUGAUUGCCAUUUGUACAUGUUUGUUGGCAAAAUUUGGUGUAUUAUGCAAAGCAAAUAAAUUAUGCUGGUCUUGGUCAUCAUCCUUUUUCAUUUUGGUUAUUUGCAUGUAGCAUUCUUUGUUGUUUGGUGAACAAGGGCAUGAGGAAAAUAUCUUUGAAAAUUGCAACAAUGUUAAUGAAAGGCACUACCAUGAGGACCCCCUAUGUGCUCAGCUUGAGCCUUUCAAGCCAGCAUGGUCCCGGAAUCCAAGCAAUUAUGAGGUGUACGAGAAAGAAGUGACUCUAAAGUCUAACUGGGUGAGUAUCCAAUGUCAACACUCCAUGCAAUAUGCCUCAGAAUUGAGUGAUCCAGUUUAUGUUUAACUGUGUUCCGACCCUUAGUAAAUCUUCAAUCAUCAUGAAGUUCCUUCCAUCUAUGCACUACCUUGUUAUCAUGCGGUAGACAAGCCUUGUCCUUGUUAAUUAUGAUGAACAAUUGACUUUGAAACAUUGCCCUUAGUGAGUUACUUAAAGAAAAGAAGUUUUGUAUUGCUGCAUUAUCUUGUAAUUAACAUUUGUCUUUGGAGAUAAAUUUUUUCUUCUGUUGGACCUAUGUAAGAUCCAAUUUACAUCACGUUAUUAAUUUAAAAUUUCACCCUAAGCAACAUUGACUUAAAACUUCUUCCUGAGUAGCAAAGGUUAGAACACAGAUAAUUUAGACCUGAAACACUAAGAAAUAAAUGAUCUGGCUUAUACAGAAAUCUUAUUUUCCUGACAAAAUAAAUGCGACCCCUUGAGUUGGCUUGCAAAUGAGAGCCUAUGUGCAACUGCUUUGUACAUUAAUGGACGAGAUGCCAAUGUUUCUAAUUUUGAAUGCGAAUUUUUCAGUCUUUCUUGAAGGAAAACAGAUUACUUCACAGAGACCCUUGGAUUGAGAUAAAGAGGGAUGCUGAAGGAAGACUAAUUGCAAUAAUCAUCACAUGGUGAUAGGCUGGGCUUGCUUUCUAUGAGCUCAUUAGAGCAUCUCCUGCCAAAAAGAAGUUCUGCACCCAUCUCUAAUUGAUCAAGUUGGUUAUCUUUUUCCUUUGUUCUCUUGAUAAAUUUGUGCUGCAUGUGUUCUUUGUUAUUUUGUUUUGCUUCAUAGUUGCAUUAUGUGUAGAUCAAGGUGUUUUUUGAAACUAAUUUAUUUUAAACUAGAUCGAGGAUUACGACUUUACAGGCAAUGAUUUUGUGUCAGUCUGCAUCAUAUACCCAAUUGUACGAUACAUCGCAUGGCACAUGCUUUCUGGGAUAAUAUGAGGGUUGCUUAUUGGACUAUCGGUGCUCACUCAUAUUAGCUUGCACCAUGGUGUAUUGUAGAUUUGUAGCAUACUGUUCUACUAGCUGAUGUUGGUUUUUGUUGAGCUGAACUGGAUGUUAGCACAAUCUGACCUACCAGAAUUUGAUUAUUUCAUUCAGGUGACUUUGUUGAUUAUUCACUCUCUGGAAACUUCAAAAUCUCUUUCAAGCUUUUGCUUAUUUAAUCCAGCAUGAUGUGAAUUUAUCUUGUACGGUAGUUAGAUGUGUCAAAGUAUAAGACAUGUGUAGGAGUUGUUUGUCAAUAAUCAACACACAUCUUUGGUAUUGCUAGCGAUGCUUGAUUUGUUUAGUUGAGUAAUGGUAGUGUUUAAGUUCUUUUUGUCAAAAAAAAUGUUUAAGUUCUGACUACAUGCCCUACUUCCUAAAUGCAAACAAGAGAGUUUCCCUUGUGCAUCUUAGCUGCUUGUUACAUUAUUUAGAUGUUAUUAAAUCUGUGUGAUAUGUGCUAAUACAAUAUGCACAUCAUGUUGGCCUUUGAGUUCUUUACUGGAAUGGGCAUGAUGUGUGAUACAAUAAUCCUUGUGAGACUGAAGAGGGAUUAGUAAACUGGUCAAAGUUGCUAGACAUGGUCAACCAUAUUCAUAAAAUUUAUGGUGAAACAUUAUUCAUUAAAGUGAUUCAGAAGUUUUCUUGCUAAUUCCAGUUCCUAAAUGUGAGAGAAAAUAUGUUGCUAUUUUUUUUGCUUUCAGUUAGGUGCAAUCAAAGGCCUGAACUAGCAUCCUACUUGGCUUACUAUUCUUUUGCAUUCUAAAGCCCAUUUAUGCAACAUGCAGCCUUCAUGCUACCCCCACCUCAUCCCUAAGUACCUCUUCCCUCUUCAAUAUAGAGUCAGAAUGAUUUUGAAAGGUUAUUAUCCAAUUUAUUAUAUUUCUAACUGAUAAACUGAUUGUUAAUGGCAUGAUCCCCGUUGGCUUACGCAACUUGUAGAUGAAGACCAUGGAUAGACAUCAGGGACAUAGAGAAAGCCUUGAUAGAUGAUGAUCUGAAAUCAGUUGCCUCGAAAGACAAUAUAUUGAAUGUGCAGAUAAAUAGGAAAAUGGUUGAUUUCCAUUGUGAGAUUCUUAAAAGUGAUUAUAUUCUUUAUCUUGGAUCUACAUGUUGAAACAAGCCAACAGAAGCAGCGCAAGGUUGUUGCUUGGGAUAAUUGCUUCAGUUAUAGUUUGAGCUGCUGCAUGUUGGUGAUACUUGAUGUGAGCUUUUCAUAAGAUGCAAGAAUAUUGUGCACUAGAUGAAUGUGAUGGGAAUGCUGAGAUGGACUUGUGAUAAAGUUAGAAAGGGAAGUUAGAAAGUAGUGUAGCUUAGGAUGGUGCUUGUACAAUCAUGUGUGAUUAGGUCUUAAGGAGGGCCAUGUUCGGGGUCUUUUGAAUUUAACCAAGAUAUGUAUGGGUUUAAAAUAGGAGGGGAUGAUCAGAAAGAAAUCUGUUCGCAUGCUGGUAGAUGGGAUUUUAGAAAGAUGGUUAUAGACAGGUGGCAGCCCUUAGAUGCAAUGAUGUUUAAAAUGACGUGUAGGCAUGACUAUAACAAGGUCGACCAGUAUUACAGUGAUUUCUUUCUAAGAGAAAAGAUGGGGAUCCCAUCAAAUUCGUUAAGAGAAUGAAUUAAGAAAAUACAAAGUGACUGGAGGUGGACAUAACAUAAAGCAAAACUGGACAAUUCGAAAGGAGGUGGUUGGAAAAAUGAAAGACAGAUUAGGGGCCAGUAUUAUGAUGAAGUUGCUGGAGGGGUUAAGUUGUGGAGUGAUUGCGAGAAAUGCUUUAUAAGGCAAGAACAAGGCUCCAAACUCUAGAAGAACAUAAAUAUGAUAUCGUUGAGAUGGACAUGUGAUAAAUUGAGGAAGGAUGAAGCUAGAAUAGUGUAUUAUAGGAAACCCUGGGGACAAAGAUGGAGAAAAUGUCGAUGUGGCAGGUUCAUUUUGAUGAUUUACGUAGAAUAAUUAUGACCUUCAGAACAUUUGACCAUACUGCCGAUGCAAUUCAUGGACAGCCUCAAUUAGUUAUAUGUCCUUGUUAUAGGUGCAAAGCUUAUCUCUGGGUUUAUAUUUUUCAUCUCUGAGUGCCUUUCUUGAUGCUUUAAAUUACUAUUUAUCACAAAAUUGUCAUUAUCUUGUCAUCCUAGCUAAUAUUUCGGAAACAAGGUUGUUAUAUUUUUCAAAUUUCAUGUCAGUUAUUUAAAAUGUAGUCAUUUUAUUCCUGAAUCCAUUUAUUUUCCUCUAACUUAUCAGAUCUACAGGAUAACAGCUCUGAGAAAAAUGGAAUCCAGUUCUUUUUCCCCUUCAAGAAGUAAUCAGACUAUGAUGAGUAAUGUCUACCUCAUUGUACUUAUCUUGAUAAUAUUUACAAUGAUGAACAACGUCUGCCUUGCUCUGCUCUUUUGCGGAAAUGCACAUAAGCUUUAACAAUAACAUGAUAUUGUAUUCCUGCACUGAAGCAAUUUGUGGUCUAGUUAGAAUGUGGUGCAAUGCUAGUUACUGUAAGUAAAUGUACAUUUGGAGCUCUUUUA
This is a non-coding RNA of Phoenix dactylifera (date palm), 6048 nucleotides long. The record is from RefSeq and is a predicted model, not a curated record. NCBI's taxonomy places the organism in Eukaryota, Viridiplantae, Streptophyta, Magnoliopsida, Arecales, Arecaceae.